Molecule: ribosomal RNA, 493 nt
Filed under: uncultured bacterium
Lineage: Bacteria
Description: partial 16S ribosomal RNA
Rfam family: Bacterial small subunit ribosomal RNA
Source: RNAcentral
AUUGAACGCUGGCGGCAUGCUUUACACAUGCAAGUCGAACGGUAACAGGUUAAGCUGACGAGUGGCGAACGGGUGAGUAAUGCAUCGGAACGUGCCCGGUCGUGGGGGAUAACGCAGCGAAAGCUGCGCUAAUACCGCAUACGAUCUAAGGAUGAAAGCGGGGGACCGUAGGGCCUCGCGCGAUCGGAGCGGCCGAUGUCAGAUUAGGUAGUUGGUGGGGUAAAGGCUCACCAAGCCAACGAUCUGUAGCUGGUCUGAGAGGACGACCAGCCACACUGGGACUGAGACACGGCCCAGACUCCUACGGGAGGCAGCAGUGGGGAAUUCUGGACAAUGGGAGAAAGCCUGAUCCAGCAAUGCCGCGUGCAGGAAGAAGGCCUUCGGGUUGUAAACUGCUUUUGUACGGAGCGAAAAGGUCUCCUCUAAUACAGGGGGCUCAUGACGGUACCGUAAGAAUAAGCACCGGCUAACUACGUGCCAGCAGCCGCCGUAA